GUGUCAGCAGCCGCGGUAAUACGGAGGGUGCAAGCGUUAUCCGGAUUCACUGGGUUUAAAGGGUGCGUAGGUGGACUUGUAAGUCAGUGGUGAAAGCCCGGAGCUCAACUCCGGAACUGCCAUUGAUACUGCAGGUCUUGAGUACACUUGAGGUGGGCGGAAUACAUCAUGUAGUGGUGAAAUACUUAGAUAUGAUGUAGAACACCGAUUGCGAAGGCAGCUCACUAAAUUGUAACUGACACUGAGGCACGAAAGCGUGGGGAUCAAACAGGAUUAGAUACCCCCGUAGUCC
This 292-nucleotide ribosomal RNA is filed under the name uncultured bacterium. Its description in RNAcentral is "partial 16S ribosomal RNA". It matches the Rfam family "Bacterial small subunit ribosomal RNA", at positions 505 to 796 of the family's 1533-position model. The record is from RNAcentral.